GACGAACGCUGGCGGCGUGCUUAACACAUGCAAGUCGAACGGAAAGGCCCCUUUGGGGGUACUCGAGUGGCGAACGGGUGAGUAACACGUGAGUAACCUGCCCUUGACUUCGGGAUAACUUCAUGAAACUGGGGCUAAUACCGGAUAGGAAUCCUUGCUGCAUGGUGGGGGUUGGAAAGCUUCGGCGGUUUUGGAUGGACUCGCGGCUGAUCAGCUUGUUGGUGGGGUAGUGGCUUACCAAGGCUUUGACGGGUAGCCGGCCUGAGAGGGCGACCGGCCACAUUGGGACUGAGAUACGGCCCAGACUCCUACGGGAGGCAGCAGUGGGGAAUAUUGCACAAUGGGCGGAAGCCUGAUGCAGCCACGCCGCGUGCGGGAUGACGGCCUUCGGGUUGUAAACCGCUUUCAGCAGGGGAGAAGCUUGUGGUGACGGUACCUGCAGAAGAAGCACCGGCUAACUACGUG
RNAcentral lists this ribosomal RNA (465 nucleotides) under uncultured bacterium. RNAcentral's name for it is "partial 16S ribosomal RNA". It matches the Rfam family "Bacterial small subunit ribosomal RNA", at positions 28 to 507 of the family's 1533-position model. The record is from RNAcentral.